UCUCCCACCCCUUCAUCUUCCCUUGAUUACUGUUUUCUUGAAAUUAGCUCCUUAAAAUUCUUACAGCCAAUCUCCAAGACCUCCCAGCUGACACAUCUAUCUUACGCUGCCGCUCUCCUCCUUCGCAAGGACUCGCAUGGAGCCGGGGAAGUGCUUCACGUUUUGUUUGCUAAUAAAGACCAUGGAGGGAUGUUAAACCGAUAGCACCUACCAUACAAGAAGAUGGCUUGAAAAAAACCGUGGCCAGCAGUCAGAGCGGUUCCCUGCACAGCAGUGAGCUCUCUGAGGUAUUAAGUCGUGUCUCUUGGUUACUGACGAUGGCAUUCAAGUCUCAGGUGUGACUGUAUGAAUUCACUGCAGGCCUGAAAAAUGGAGAAAUGACUCCCCGAAGACAUUUUCCUAAUCCAAAAAUGCAGCGGAGUCCGAAGCAACAAAAGAAAACAGAUUCUGCCUUGUUCUAGCGAAGUUUUGCCAUCCCCGUGUCUCUGGGGAUCUGGAAUCCUCGUUAUCACUGAGGAGCUGGUGGCAGUCCCAGGCACAGAGUGACUGAGCGCACCGGCCCGGGCUCAUUUAUUGCUACAGAUGAGACAAAUGCGGAGAGAGCAGGGCAGGGGGGAGCUGGCAGGGAAGAUGCAAUGCUGCCAACCCCAACUGCUGCAGCUUGAAGACACAUCUUUAGAAGAUGUUCCCAUGACACAAUUAGGGAGGUAAUUAAAUAAUCCUGUGAAACACAGCUUGGCAGCUAAAUGUAUUGUAGGCAAGGAGCUGAAGUGCUAUGCUUCUGUCCGUGGCAGGGGGGAGGCAUGAAAAUAAUCUGUUGUCAUUUUUACCAUUGCAACAGUUUGUAAAGUGUAGUUUUUUAUUCCCUAAAAGUCCAGACAGAAGUAAACUUAGUGGGUUGCUGAAAGUGCUGUUCAUCCAGAGGACUUUGGGCAAGCUGUUCUAGGAUAACAAUAGCAGAUGGGAUGCGAUGGGAGAUGCAAUUACAGAAAAAGGCAAUGGGAUGGACGUAAGCACAGGUGAGCCAUACACACGGCACGACACCUGGAAAGUGCUUGGCACAUCUGAAAUUGCUGCGGAUCCUCCGGGUGCUCGGUGGAAGCUGGCUCAGAUCUUCACACUGCAGGCACAUGCCGGUUGCAGGUGGAGGUAACAGGGUUAACCAGUUGCUCGUGCUCAUUUUUAUGGGACAAGCGAAUGCAGAAUUCCACCAUGAACGCAUCCAACUGGAAUAACUUCAAGGCACAGGCAGGACUGUUCAAAUUUUCUGGGUUGCUCUUUUGUCAGGGGACAUGAAUGUUCUGAAUUGCGCAGCAAUUAUGAAUGUAAUAUCUUGACAAUGUAAAAUAUCAUUAAUGACUGAUCUAAGGGAACUUGCAAAUGACCAUGUAGUUACACAGUGUUGGCAGCAUAAAUAGCAAUUAAUGUUGUAACUGUAGCUGUUUGUACUCAGAUUAUAUCAGGGAAUCCCACAGAGUGGGAAGGAGUGUCAAAUGUUCUAACACAGGAGAAAAUAAUAAUGAUAGUGAUAAUAUGAAACUGAUAAUUAAGGAUCUUCCCUCUGAUACAUCUGUGAAAGAAAUAGGGAUGCUCAGGAGUGCAGAAACCUGAAAAGCAGUUUGUGUGUAUCUGUGGCUCUGUCCAUCCAUCUGUCCCUAACAAUCCCUUUGACUUGCCAGAUUUGUUAUGGCAGUUAACUCAUGAAAUUUUGCUUUAGCUUAAACUGCAGAGGUCUGUAUUCUUGGGAAAAGGCCUGGGAUUCUGGAUUUUGCUCUCAGUGAUUUUUGCAGUAAUUAUCUGAAGUAUGCAGGACAUGGAUGUGGUUUAACGGGAAGCUGAAAAGUGCUCCGGUGCAAAGAUAAAUCUGGACUCCCUCCAGAGCCCUCACUGAAGGCCGGUGAGUGUCUGUCACAGCCACAAGCCAUGACGCUCCGGGAGCACCAAAAUGAUGCCCAGCUCACCAACAGCAGCAAAGGGUUCAUAUCUCUGUCUGAUGCACUGCUCAGGAAGAUGUUCAUCACUCAUGAGAAGGAGAGAAAGCAGCCAGUUAGCCAGGGUUUGCUUCACAAGGAAGCUUGGGAAGAAGAGUUUGUAUUUCACUGCACACAGAAAUUGCUGAUGCUGUUUUUUUCCCCUUCUCUUGGCUAUAAAUGAGAUCUGGAGAGAGGGAUGGAGAGACAGAAAGAACAAGGAAAAAAGACUUGAUAAAAUGCCAUCCUGAUCUUGGUCAAUAAACUUAUUUCCAAUUAGGAGCUCCAGCAGCAGCAGGUGCACAAUGUAUGUUCUGCUGCAGGGUACUCAUCCUGGUGGUAAGGAAGCCAGAUUUUAAUAAUAUUUGCAUCAGCAAGAAUGUGAAGUAAUCCCAGUGAAAUUAUGGCAUUUAUCCUGGAUUUGUACUGGUAUCAAAGAAAGCAAAAUCUGUCUGAUUUACGUCAAGAGCCUUCUUUGCUUUAAUAACUGACACAGCCCUGCACUGCAGCUUCCCUCGUUCAGGCUUAAGGAUUCCCCACUUUUCUUUAGUACAGGGCUUGGGGAUCUCCUUUCUCUGCUCAGUGGUAAAUGCUCUGACCUUCCUUUCAGAGAUGGUGGCCACUUCUUCCCUGGUUGUAAUUCCUGAUUUGAUGUUCGGCCCUGGUAUAUGCAGGGGUAACUCCAUCAUGUGUGUUGGAGGCAACAUCUUUUGUGCUGGGCCUGGGAUACCCACUGCCUGGUGGGGAUACAGCACUAAUAGAGCAUUUGUAUUCGACGUGAGGGAAGCUGCAAAAGGAAUGAACAAGCUAAAGUGUGGAGAGAGGGUUGCAGCUGGAUGGAAGAGGCAGGCAGACAAGAGGAGAGAUGAAACAGUAAAUUUGUGACAGUGGCCACAAAAAGUGGCAGUGGUGGGGCAUUAGGUGAUGCAGGUGGGCAUGGAGUUCUUCCAAAUCAGCUCAUCAGAGAACCUGUCCCACAGCUCCCACCCUCCCUUCUCUGUACCAGUGACUGCUGCAUUCAAAAUUCAUCUGCCUAGCCAAUCAGUCCCAGGUGAAUACUGACAGCAAAAGGCCCGUUACAGGGUGAAGUCCAAAGACCUAGAUGGAUAGAUGUGAAUAGCAAAUGCGGAUGAGAGCUGGCAGAAAGCUUUAAAUGCGGUGACGAGGACAUGAGCACGGGAGAGCAGCAGAGGAAACACUGAGCUCUCCAAAUGUGUCAGUCUCACAAAGAGGUGACAGCUGUCAGGGAAGAUGACAUCCUGAUGGAUUGUCACCUUCAUCGAAAGAGAAAUAAGCCCUGCUUAUUAUGGAAUAUUUUGCUUUAAAGGUGCACUGAUGUUGUUUUUUUAUUGUUUUCCAGAAUCAGAGAGAGUUGGUCUAAGUUCUGAUCUCUGUUAGAUGCCAUUAGCAGUUUCCUAUUGAAAUCCAAAAGCCUUAUGCAUCUCACCAGAAGCAUGGUUUGGUAUCACUGGAGCUGGGCUUCUCACAUGUGAAUGGAAGACCAGGGGAUGCCCAGAUAACCCGGGAAAGGCUCUGGCAUGACCUCAAGUGAGUGUGUCCUGGCAGUUUGGAGGAUCCAUGAUAUAUUCCUCUCCUCCAUUCUCCUCAGUGAACCACGAUGCUGGUUAAACCACAGUGCUAAACACUAACUCAAAAGACAUAUCUACACCUCUGCUUUACUAAACCAUUUCGUUCUGCACCAAGAUUUAAAAAAAAAUAAAAAAAUCUCCCUGCCAAGCAUGCCUGUUCCUCUGUGUGCCAGGAAGUGAGGCACUGCCGGUCCCAGCACCUUCUGGAGCAGGUUGUUGGGACACCAGUGCUUUGUUGAUGCUGUUCUCUAUUUUUCCUUGCCAAGGAAAGACAGAUGAUGUACACCCCUGUGCACAUUGCUUGGCACUAUGAUGUUUCAUCUGGGACUGUCCUCCCACUGGGAAGAGUGCAGUUUGAGCAUAAGGGAUGCUACAGAAUAAACCUGUAGAGGGAGUGAGGGACUAGCAGAGCUGAAAAAAGAACGGGAGAAAA
Molecule: long non-coding RNA, 3992 nt
Organism: Anas platyrhynchos (mallard)
Lineage: Eukaryota; Metazoa; Chordata; Aves; Anseriformes; Anatidae
Source: RefSeq, a predicted model, not a curated record